CGGAUCGACCCUUCGAGGAGCGUUCACAGGUGCUGCAUGGCUGUCGUCAGCUCGUGCCGUGAGGUGUUCGGUUAAGUCCGGUAACGAGCGCAACCCUUGCUGUUAGUUACAAGUGUCUAACGGGACUGCCGGUUUAAUACCGGAGAAGUGGGGAUGACGUCAAGUCAGCAUGGCCUCUAUGCCCAGGGCUACACACACGCUACAAUGGCCGGUACAGUGGGUUGCCAAACCGCGAGGUGGAGCUAAUCCUCAAAGCCGGUCUCAGUUCGGAUUGUAGGCUGCAACUCGCCUGCAUGAAGUCGGAGUUGCUAGUAACCGCGCGUCAGCUAUAGCGCGGUGAAUACGUUCCCGGGCCUU
This 357-nucleotide ribosomal RNA is filed under the name uncultured Anaerolineaceae bacterium. RNAcentral's name for it is "bacterial SSU rRNA". It matches the Rfam family "Bacterial small subunit ribosomal RNA", at positions 1007 to 1382 of the family's 1533-position model. Lineage: Bacteria; Bacillati; Chloroflexota; Anaerolineae; Anaerolineales; Anaerolineaceae. The record is from RNAcentral.